Molecule: transfer RNA, 71 nt
Filed under: Myxacorys chilensis ATA2-1-KO14
Lineage: Bacteria; Bacillati; Cyanobacteriota; Cyanophyceae; Leptolyngbyales; Leptolyngbyaceae
Also listed under: 1 other name
Description: tRNA-Ser
Rfam family: tRNA
About the family: Transfer RNA (tRNA) molecules are approximately 80 nucleotides in length.
Source: RNAcentral
CAUACUAGCCAAAUGGAAAAGGUGCUUGACUUGAGAUCAGGUUACUACAGGUUCGAUUCCUGUGUAUGACA